RNAcentral lists this microRNA precursor (97 nucleotides) under Pongo abelii (Sumatran orangutan). RNAcentral describes it as "miRNA". The stretch from base 11 to 94 matches the Rfam family "mir-548 microRNA precursor family". The record is from RNAcentral. Lineage: Eukaryota; Metazoa; Chordata; Mammalia; Primates; Hominidae.
GACAGGGAAGAUUUAGGUUGGUGCAAAAGUAACUGUGGUUUUUGCCAUUGAAAGUAAUGGCAAAAACCACAGUUACUUUUGCACCAACCUAAUAAAA